AAAGUUUGUCAAUGUACCACAGAGGAAAUCAGAAAUCGAGCAUUCGUUGAACAUGGAGCUGCUUAUAGUUGUAGAACAGAGCUUGUGUGGUCCGAGAAAACAGUUGUCCCGUUGCCAUUUUUGGGAAGAGCUCAAAAAGGAUCAAUAGGAACAACAAUUUGGUACACCUUUGAUUAAAACUUGUGUAUAAAUCAUCAUUUUAAACUUCUCUUUUCUGAAACAUGAUUUUCUUAAGAUAAAAUGAAUCGGCUAUAGAAUGAACUAUCAAUUUAUCUUUAACGCUCAUGUUGCUGCAUGUCAAUCAACGAAUGCUACUUCUUCUUCAAGAAUACAUCCUUAGUUAAUCAAAAACAAUUACGUCUAAAUAAUCCAAAACAAUUACAAGUUAGAAAAUAGUUUCUUGUAUAUUGUGUUCAUCAAAAGAUCAGUACAUAGUUGGUUGUAUUAGCUAGACCGUAAGUAUAAUAUAAUCCAAGAAACAAAACAAGCGUAGUUCAAGUUGGUGGGUCAAUUAUUAUUAUUAUAUAUUGACCAAUGUCUAAAAUGUUCAAAGAAAAGUUGAAGUAAAGAGACCAAUAAUCAAUAACAAUCCGGAAAGAGAAGUGUGGGCAACCUGACUAGAUGCUCAAUGACUAUUAUUUGGUGGAGAGUAGACAGACACCCGUGACAAUCCGGAAAGAGAAGUUUGUAUGUGUAGUCCGAUCAAUAAUAUACAUAUUUUUCAAUUUGUUAUUCGGUGGAAAAUGGCUGAUAAAAUAAGAGUAUUGAAUUUAAAGUCA
This is a long non-coding RNA of Brassica rapa (field mustard), 779 nucleotides long. RefSeq lists it as uncharacterized. The record is from RefSeq and is a predicted model, not a curated record. Lineage: Eukaryota; Viridiplantae; Streptophyta; Magnoliopsida; Brassicales; Brassicaceae.